This is a long non-coding RNA of Eutrema salsugineum, 517 nucleotides long. RefSeq lists it as uncharacterized. NCBI's taxonomy places the organism in Eukaryota, Viridiplantae, Streptophyta, Magnoliopsida, Brassicales, Brassicaceae. The record is from RefSeq and is a predicted model, not a curated record. The transcript is spliced from 3 exons.
UAGCUACAUUCUUUUUUCUCCUUCGAUUCUUCUACUUUGUACUUUGGUCUUUGACAUCUCUGAAAUUAAGAGUUUUGCAAGGAUCUGAUUAUUUUAACCGGCUAACUAGAAAUAAUAGUUGGAUGAGAGUCAUGAGACUGGUUUUGAUGUAAGGUAACGCGAGAUAUUAGUGCGGUUCAAUCAAAUAGCCGAGCUCUUAGUUUAUAGAGAUCGGUUCUGUUCGAUUGAGCCGUGCCAAUAUCACGCAUUAAGCCGAGAUGACAAGGUGGCUAUUAUCCUUAAAAGGCUUCGAACGUAUAUGAAGGCAAUAAGGAACACAAAACCCAAAAUCCAAGUACAACUGCGAUGUACAGUUCUAUUUAUAGAAAGUAUUUAAGGAAUUAAGGGAAAGGAAAAAAGUAACAUGCUAACGAAUGUAAUAUGCGUCAUGAUUUACUCUCGUGACGAUAAUUGCAAUUAUCAGUACCAAUACAAAAACUUAAUUUGUAAUUAUCAGCAUUUUUGUCUAUAAUUAACU